This 468-nucleotide ribosomal RNA is filed under the name uncultured bacterium. Its description in RNAcentral is "partial 16S ribosomal RNA". It matches the Rfam family "Bacterial small subunit ribosomal RNA", at positions 28 to 507 of the family's 1533-position model. The record is from RNAcentral.
GACGAACGCUGGCGGCGUGCUUAACACAUGCAAGUCGAACGGAAAGGCCCUGCUUUUGUGGGGUGCUCGAGUGGCGAACGGGUGAGUAACACGUGAGUAUCCUGCCCUUGACUUUGGGAUAACUUCAGGAAACUGGGGCUAAUACCGGAUAGGAGCUCCUGCUGCAUGGUGGGGGUUGGAAAGUUUCGGCGGUUGGGGAUGGACUCGCGUCUUUUCAGCUUGUUGGUGGGGUAGUGGCUUACACAGGCUUUGACGGGUAGCCGGCCUGAGAGGGUGACCGGCCACAUUGGGACUGAGAUACGGCCCAGACUCCUACGGGAGGCAGCGGUGGGGAAUAUUGCACAAUGGGCGGAAGCCGGAUGCAGCAACGCCGCGUGCGGGAUGACGGCCUUCGGGUUGUAACCCGCUUUCGCCUGUGACGAAGCGUGAGUGACGGUAAUGGGUAAAGAAGCACCGGCUAACUAAGUG